CAUAUAGCUCUUGUAGUUUUUAUAACUAAGUAGACAAAACAUUCUAUUAGCUACUGUGAAUGGGGUGCCUCAUUUGAAGUCAGGGCUUUGAAGUCAUCGGGUGUGUCUUGCACACUUACAGGGUGGUAGGUUUAUCUGUUUCUGUUUCACCCUUGUGAUAGUUGACUGAGACCUUGAUAUUUCCAAGAGGUGUCUAAAUGGACUGAGCAUUCAUAAUACCCACGUGCAAUAGUUCUUACCUCAGAGCAUUCUAGAAUCACCAGCGCCGGGUCUUGUUCACACCAAUGAAGUCAGACUCUGGCAGUGGUAUUCAGGCCUCAACAAACUUCAAAUCUCGAGAGCACAUCGGCUCACUCUUCUUUACACCCUCAAAGCCAAAGAGGCUGAGCAAUCCUAUGGCAAUAGCAUUCCCAGACCUCAACUGAAGAACUGCAUUUCUUGAGGAGCUAGGAUUUGGAAACUCAGCUCUCACGGUUCAAGGUUCCCAUGGAGGCGUGGCGGGUUGUGGGGACUCCCAUCCUUAGCUGGCCAGAAAACCAAACAAGCCCAGAGUGAUGCCACAGCCACGCACAUCAGCCUCCACAUGAAAUGUGCCACACUUCAGAGGAAGCAUGGUGCUCAAGCUAAAGCAACCCCACCCCUUACCCAUACCAACAAAUGUUCACUUGGGAAAGAGCACAAAUGAUAUUUAGGAAUUUUUUUCUUGGAAGGGUCCAGUGAGGAGUGAUCAUUUCCACACAGCCAGCAGGUGGCAUUAGAAGGCAGGAGCCAUGGGAGAAGGGGUGUCCCCUCCAAAACUCCCAGGGAAGAACCUGCCAUGGGACAGACCCAUCCCCGGCCUGCACAUUUGUCAUUUGGCCUGCUGAGUACUAAAUGACUGGUUUUUAAUUACUUUCCAACCUUUUUUAGAAUGAAUACAAAAAUGUCACAUAAAACCUCUGUUUCCCGAACACCACUAGCCUCGAAUUGUGUCAGGUUGAGAAGUGGCUGGAGCCGAGAGUGGUGACCAUCUUUGAGGAAAGGCCAACUCAUCACUGCCCCACCUCCACUUCACUUGUUAAGUUACUGCCCGCACCCCACGGACACUGGACUUUGUCACCGCAGCACACACCCUCGGCCCAACCCGUACACUCCCCUUCACCGCAACGUGUCUUUGAAACUGCAAACCAAGGAGAAGGAAAGGUGAAAGGUGGGGAAAAGGUGGCAGGUGAUGAUUCAGAAGAGCCCCGAGAUGGCUCUGCGUGGGCUGUCUAAAAGAUCUGGGACGUGGCCUGGGAGACACAGUAGCCUCUGGGGACCUGAACACCGAGCAAUGUGGUCUGUCCUGAUAGCGCUCAUGAUUCACGGUGGAGGCCCCAGGUCAGGGCUCUCAAGCUGCUGCCUUUCUGUUUGUUCUGCUUGUACGUGGAGGGUGAGAGGAAAUCACCAUCUCAGCUUUAAUGAGGUGGUGACAAAUGUAGGGCUCAGGCCACAAGUGAGCUGAAAGGAGAGAGAAGCUGUGGCACCAGCUCAGAUGUGAGAGCUGAAGACGCCCCGCUGUUUAGAUUAUAAGCUUCCUGAAGUCAGGGAAGAUGCCUGGGGGUAGUCUAAGCCAGCACUACAUCCUCGAUGAUCAACCUCCCAUCAAGGUAGGGGGGCCUGAGGCUGACACAGGAAGCAUCUCAUAAAGGUCUCAUAAAGCCAUCUCAAAGAAAUGCCCAACCCCAACUCCUUAUACUCAGAACCACACAAUACAUUUGUGUGCUUCAUCGGAUUGAUGGGACGGAUUCACCAAGAUUAGUGACACAAAGGGUCAUCCCCCACCCCCUUCAAAUCCUACAUAGUUCAUAGAUUCCUGAACAACGGACAAAGCUUACUUCCUAGGAUUCUGGAAGAAUUAAUACAUUUUGUGCACUGUACAAGGCUGCUAUGGCAACCGAAGCCCUGUGGACCACAUCUAGCCUUGACACAGGAGAAUGAGAGAGACCAAACUCCGCAGAGAUGCAGGCAACAAUGCAUGUGCAGUUGUCGGUGCCAUCGUGAACUGGCUCAGCCUCACGGAGGAGAAAACUGAUCUGUUGCCAGUGCUACCCAUGUUCAUCCCUCUGGACCUACUGAUUCCACCCUGGCAACUGCAUCCCAAGGAUAUUACACCUGCUUCUUUCUCCUCGCCCCAAUAGAGACACUUACAAAUUUUUUUCACACCAAAGAGAUGAAACAGCCUACAUAUCUUUAAAGAGACGAGGGCACCUCAACACCAAAGAAUGAGCUAAAAUGACAGGCUUAAGAAUUCCAGGGAGGCAGCCUUAUCCAAAUGAUGCCCAUUGUCCCUGCCCAGUGACAGACACAUAUAUAUUUUUUGGAUGUAGGGCCAUAUACAGGAAUAAAUGAAAGAAGAGUGAAUGAAUGAAUAAAGGCUGAAUGGAGAGGAGAGGACAAGAAGAGUUUAGGCCACACACACCCCCCUCCAAAUUAAUUAAUGACUAAUCUGGAGUUUCAGCAUUAAGCAGGGACAGUGUGGUGGGGUUAUCCAGAAAGCCUCUGAAAUCACACCAAUUAGGUGUCCUAGAGGAAGAUUAAAUGCUCUGAAACCAGCCAAAGCUAAUCAAAGGCAGCCCUUGGAGGCUCCAAAGAACACUUACCUGCACUAUCCGUGUGGCUCUUACUGGCUGUGGUUUUCAUCAUUUUCUCGCUGAAUAAAAGAAAAAGAGAGUCAGCUAUACAGUUUUCAAAAGCCUCCAUUUUUUUCCCCCUUCCAUUCACUAUUCGAAGCAAUUAGCAGCAGCUAGUGAUGGUAUCAAGCAAUGAGGGCAUUUUAGCAUCAGCAUCACUAUUGGCCGGGAUGGAAGAGGCUUCCCAGGUGUGCAUCUGACACUGCUGGUGGAAUGCAGCUGAGCAGCGCUCAUGACUUUCAAAUGAGGUGGACGUGGAGACAAGUGGAUGGCACUUGCAGGCACUGCGCAGUGGUCCAUGAAGCCACAUGCACUGGGAAGCCCAUUUCCCCUUCUUGGGCCAAAGUGUGACCUUCGGCCAAGAAUUACAAGAAGGAAAAACAAACAAACAAACCAUGAUUCAUAGAGAUGGUAAUAUUUUCAGCCUUGAAAUGAUUACAAGAAAACGAAUUUCAAUGAAUGAAUUAUCUUAAUGAUUAAAGAG
Molecule: long non-coding RNA, 3135 nt
Organism: Canis lupus familiaris (dog)
Lineage: Eukaryota; Metazoa; Chordata; Mammalia; Carnivora; Canidae
Exons: 4
Source: RefSeq, a predicted model, not a curated record